Molecule: unclassified non-coding RNA, 603 nt
Filed under: Penicillium copticola
Lineage: Eukaryota; Fungi; Ascomycota; Eurotiomycetes; Eurotiales; Aspergillaceae
Description: sequence contains ITS1, 5.8S rRNA gene and ITS2
Rfam family: 5.8S ribosomal RNA (bases 215-368)
Source: RNAcentral
GUAACAAGGUUUCCGUAGGUGAACCUGCGGAAGGAUCAUUACCGAGUGAGGGCCCUCUGGGUCCAACCUCCCACCCGUGUUUUCCGAACCCUGUUGCUUCGGCGGGCCCGCCUCACGGCCGCCGGGGGGCUUCCGCCCCCGGGCCCGCGCCCGCCGAAGACACCUGUGAACGCUGUCUGAAGUUGCAGUCUGAGAAACUAGCUAAAUUAGUUAAAACUUUCAACAACGGAUCUCUUGGUUCCGGCAUCGAUGAAGAACGCAGCGAAAUGCGAUAACUAAUGUGAAUUGCAGAAUUCAGUGAAUCAUCGAGUCUUUGAACGCACAUUGCGCCCUCUGGUAUUCCGGAGGGCAUGCCUGUCCGAGCGUCAUUGCUGCCCUCAAGCACGGCUUGUGUGUUGGGCCCCCGCCCCCCCCCGCGCUGGGGGGGCGGGCCCGAAAGGCAGCGGCGGCACCGCGUCCGGUCCUCGAGCGUAUGGGGCUUCGUCACCCGCUCUUGUAGGCCCGGCCGGCGCCAGCCGACCCCCCUCAAUCUAUUUUUUCAGGUUGACCUCGGAUCAGGUAGGGAUACCCGCUGAACUUAAGCAUAUCAAUAAGCCNGAGGAA